CUUCCUUGCUCUUCUUUUCCUUUUCUGGACUCUUCUUUUCCAUCGACUUCUCUGUCACUAUCUCGCAACCAACUACAAUACCGAUUCACCCUCCAUUUCUCCCGCUUAGCAAAAGAAAAUCAAAGGGGUUCACCUCCUUGGGUUCCGUAAGAUGCUGGAAGCAUCUUUCGUUUCUCUCUUUCUUCUUCUUUUCUUCCACCUCUUCGUUCGCCGAAGCAACUAAAAAUAAAAAACCUACUCGCGGCUUCUUCCUCCCGAUUUCGGAGCUUCUCUCUCUUCCACUCUCUCUCUCUCUCUCCCCCCUCCAUUGAAGCACCUCCAUACACAGAGUUUUCCUGGCUAAGAGGAUAUUUUACGGUUUGGUUCCUUGCUUGGUCAAUCUCAGAUUUACCGACGGUUCCGGCGGUCCUGUUAUUUUUUGGAAAAUCAGGAAUUUGAACAUCAGCUUGCGACUUCGUCGUCGAUUUGAACGCCACCAGCUUCGAUGCAGUCCUUGGAGACACCCCUGCCUCCUCUGCCAUAGUCGAAUUCUUUGCUGACUGGUCAGCUUUUCUAAUUUCUAUGUAAACCAUUGAUUUUAUUUGCGAAAUAAAUGAAACCCCUUAUGUUUUUGCUUAAAGUAUUGAUCUUUGAGUGUUGCUCGGUAGAUAUUAGAUUGAUUGGAGGCUACCCAUUUGAAAAAGAAGUGAGAUCACAUGGAUGAUGGAUCAUAGGCAUAUGGUGGUUUAGUUGCACCCUGCACAGGUGCAGCUCAAGGCUGACCCUAAAUUGUUCCUCCUGAAAUGAUGUUGUGCUUAUUUGUAAAUUUUGCUGCUCAUCUGCAACUCACCUUUUGUCUCUUGAUAUCUUUUACAGGUGCAAAACGCCAUAGAGUAUUUAAACAUCAUCGGGGCCUUGGAUGAAAAUGAGAAUCUGACUGUUUUAGGUGGGGAGAGAUUUAUUAUUCUUUUAAUAUUUCAAUUAUGCAUUGUGAUGCUUACAACUCUUUGUAAUGGUUGUGAGUUUAAAUUUGAAAAUAAUUAGCCUAAUGCAGUUUAAAUCACUUGAUAGUUUAAAUGCAGGUUGUUAUAUAGAGAUUAGGAUUUAGGUUUUCCAGUUCAAUCAAAGCUAAUUAAACCGAAUCAUGAAUUAAUUAAAUGUGGUGUCUUCCUUUCUCCUCUGUUUCUUUUGUUGUUGGGUGAAAGUGAGCAUGGGUUUAUGAUAACCUAUUUAAAAGGAAAGCUGGAGAGAGAGAGGGUAAUAAAGUAGGUGCAUAUAGGGAGUCAAAGGUUAAGGCAUACUGAUGCACAGAUUAGUAUGGUAAAAAUGAAAAAAAAUGAAAAGAAAGUGAACCCAAUAGAAUAUAGAAAAUGAAGUGUUCAUCCAAUGGAAGAACCCAUAUGUGGUGUUUUAUUUUUAGACAAGAUGAGAAGAUGUAAACAGUUGGAGGUCCAUACCAUUUUCCAAGUUCUUUAUUAAUGUGAAUGUUUAUGUUAUUCUGAUUAGGAACUUAAGUGAAUAAAUCACUUUUGAAUUUGUAAACAAAUAAUUGCUUACAAAAUAAUUAACUUUGUUAAACAAAAAUAAUUGCUUACAGUAGAGAAUAACUGUAAACAUUAUUGAAAUAUAUAUUUAAAUAUUUUUAAUUUAUAUAAAUAGAUAGGUUGCUAUUGCAUUGUGUGCCUAAAUCAAAUCACUAACUUGAACCAUGCUCUUUAUUUGGGAACUGUGUAUUUCUUAUUUGAAUUAGUAUGGUUUGUUUUUCAAAUUUGAUUUUGUGUGAUUUCAUUUUGAUAGAUAUUUCAGAAUUUCAGAAAGCAGGUGCGGUUUGAUCAAUUAAGGCCAACCUGAUUUACAGGGGUCUGAUUAGUGGUACACUACUAAUUACCUCACUUUUCUCCCAAAAGUAUGCUGCUUUUUCCAAAAGGAAAAUAUUAGCUUGGUUUGAUCUCUUAUUUGAAUUGUGUAGAUUUGGUUUGAUCUCUUAAUUUGUGUUGUGCAAAUUUUGUAUGAAUUAAUUUGGGUUGGGCAGAGGAAGCAAAUAUUUUUUUAAAUUAAUAAAUUUAGUUUGGUUUAUACAUAUGCUAAUGAAUAUUAUUUACCGAAGCAUGAACAAGUCAAGAAACUGUUUGUUUCAAACUAUUCAUUACAACUUUGCACCAACUGUUUUGGUUAUGCCUAAUAGUUUUAAAACCCGCUGCGCGGGCUCCUUUACUAGUAUGGACUAAAAGCCAACAGGUGAGAAUUAAUGGUAUCAUUUCUUUUGGAAGUUUAUAUAGUCACGUGAUAUGACCUUACACGCCA
Molecule: non-coding RNA, 2283 nt
Organism: Malus domestica (apple)
Lineage: Eukaryota; Viridiplantae; Streptophyta; Magnoliopsida; Rosales; Rosaceae
Source: RefSeq, a predicted model, not a curated record